Molecule: ribosomal RNA, 468 nt
Filed under: uncultured bacterium
Lineage: Bacteria
Description: partial 16S ribosomal RNA
Rfam family: Bacterial small subunit ribosomal RNA
Source: RNAcentral
GACGAACGCUGGCGGCGUGCUUAACGCAUGCAAGUCGAACGGAAAGGCCCUGCUUUUGUGGGGUGCUCGAGUGGCGAACGGGUGAGUAACACGUGAGUAACCUGCCCUUGACUUUGGGAUAACUUCAGGAAACUGGGGCUAAUACCGGAUAGGAGCUCCUGCUGCAUGGUGGGGGUUGGAAAGUUUCGGCGGUUGGGGAUGGACUCGCGGCUUAUCAGCUUGUUGGUGGGGUAGUGGCUUACCAAGGCUUUGACGGGUAGCCGGCCUGAGAGGGUGACCGGCCACAUUGGGACUGAGAUACGGCCCAGACUCCUACGGGAGGCAGCAGUGGGGAAUAUUGCGCAAUGGGCGGAAGCCUGAUGCAGCAACGCCGCGUGCGGGAUGACGGCCUUCGGGGUGUAAACCGCUUUCGCCUGUGACGAAGCGUGAGUGACGGUAAUGGGUAAAGAAGCACCGGCUAACUACGUG